Molecule: ribosomal RNA, 447 nt
Filed under: uncultured bacterium
Lineage: Bacteria
Description: partial 16S ribosomal RNA
Rfam family: Bacterial small subunit ribosomal RNA
Source: RNAcentral
AGCGAACGCUGGCGGCAGGCUUAACACAUGCAAGUCGAACGCCCCGCAAGGGGAGUGGCAGACGGGUGAGUAACACGUGGGAACGUACCCUUUGGUUCGGAAUAACUUGGGGAAACUCAAGCUAAUACCGGAUAAGCCCUUAUGGGGAAAGGUUUACUGCCGAAGGAUCGGCCCGCGUCUGAUUAGCUAGUUGGUGAGGUAAUGGCUCACCAAGGCGACGAUCAGUAGCUGGUCUGAGAGGAUGAUCAGCCACACUGGGACCGAGACACGGCCCGGACUCCUACGGGAGGCAGCAGUGGGGAAUAUUGGACAAUGGGGGCGACCCUGAUCCAGCCAUGCCGCGUGAGUGAUGAAGGCCUUAGGGUUGUAAAGCUCUUUUACCCGGGACGAUAAUGACUGUACCGGGAGAAUAAGCCCCGGCUAACCUCGUGCCAGCCGCCGCGGUAA